This 521-nucleotide long non-coding RNA is filed under the name Marmota monax (woodchuck). The record is from RNAcentral. Lineage: Eukaryota; Metazoa; Chordata; Mammalia; Rodentia; Sciuridae.
GUGGGAGACCGAUCCAGCCUCGUCAGGAACUGAGCCGUGUUUGGGUUUUGUUCUUAUUCUAUUACUGUCGGUGCACUAUAGACUCCAGCUCUCUCUAACAUUGUCUUGUAUUUACGUUUGAGGCUAGUUUGCCAGAGGUUUUCUCAGUGUCUGUUCUACUCUUGGUUUACAUGUUCUCCUUGGCCUGUUGAAAUGUCUUUAUGUUCUUCAUGACCAUUCAGCAGUAGAUUGCUGUUUUUAUUUAUUGCUUAUUAGCCUGGCUGGUAGUGGUGAUGGUUAUGGUAAAGGGGGUGUUCUCUGCUUUUCUGAUUCAUUAUUAGUUUUAGACCAACACUGUGACCUUGGGUCUCAGGAGUAGAGCCUUUCCAUGAUCCUACCCCACCGUCAGAUGGAAGACUUCUAAUUGUCUGGGGCUUACAAGGAUAGAAGUGUUUUGUUGUUGUUAUUGGGUUUUUUUCCCUUUCUCUGACUGCAAUGGGUCUUCACCAAUUCAUAAUUUAAUGUCUCAUGUUAGGAUUUAC